Molecule: transfer RNA, 67 nt
Filed under: Zeugodacus atrifacies
Lineage: Eukaryota; Metazoa; Arthropoda; Insecta; Diptera; Tephritidae
Description: tRNA-His
Source: RNAcentral
AUCUAAAUAGUUUAUAUUUAAAAUAUUGAUUUGUGGUGUCAAUGAUAUGAUUUAGUCAUUUUAGAUC